Molecule: non-coding RNA, 203 nt
Organism: Pelobates cultripes (western spadefoot toad)
Lineage: Eukaryota; Metazoa; Chordata; Amphibia; Anura; Pelobatidae
Source: the annotation of a GenBank genome assembly
CCAGGGAGAGUAUGUAUAGCAGAGGGGAUAGUGGACAACCCUGGCGUGUCCCAUUCGUAAUGUGAAAAGUUCGUGACAGGAAGCCUCCAUGGGAGACCCUAGCACUGGGUCGUGCGUACAGAGCCAAGAUUCCUCUGAUAACCUCUUCGGGGAACUGAUACUUGCACAGCACUUGUGUCAUAUAUUGCCAGUUAAGUCUGUCG